RNAcentral lists this ribosomal RNA (479 nucleotides) under Saccharomyces cerevisiae (brewer's yeast). RNAcentral's name for it is "partial 26S ribosomal RNA". It matches the Rfam family "Eukaryotic large subunit ribosomal RNA", at positions 62 to 543 of the family's 3401-position model. Lineage: Eukaryota; Fungi; Ascomycota; Saccharomycetes; Saccharomycetales; Saccharomycetaceae. The record is from RNAcentral.
AAACCAACCGGGAUUGCCUUAGUAACGGUGAGUGAAGCGGCAAAAGCUCAAAUUUGAAAUCUGGUACCUUCGGUGCCCGAGUUGUAAUUUGGAGAGGGCAACUUUGGGGCCGUUCCUUGUCUAUGUUCCUUGGAACAGGACGUCAUAGAGGGUGAGAAUCCCGUGUGGCGAGGAGUGCGGUUCUUUGUAAAGUGCCUUCGAAGAGUCGAGUUGUUUGGGAAUGCAGCUCUAAGUGGGUGGUAAAUUCCAUCUAAAGCUAAAUAUUGGCGAGAGACCGAUAGCGAACAAGUACAGUGAUGGAAAGAUGAAAAGAACUUUGAAAAGAGAGUGAAAAAGUACGUGAAAUUGUUGAAAGGGAAGGGCAUUUGAUCAGACAUGGUGUUUUGUGCCCUCUGCUCCUUGUGGGUAGGGGAAUCUCGCAUUUCACUGGGCCAGCAUCAGUUUUGGUGGCAGGAUAAAUCCAUAGGAAUGUAGCUUGC